ACGUCAAAUCAUCAUGCCCCUUAUGUCCUGGGCUACACACGUACUACAAUGGUCAUAACAGAGGGAAGCAGAGCAGUGAUGCCGAGCAAAACCCAAAAAGUGACCUCAGUUCGGAUUGAAGGCUGAAAUUCGCCUUCAUGAAGUUGGAAUUGCUAGUAAUGGCAGGUCAGCAUACUGCCGUGAAUACGUUCCCGGGCCUU
This 200-nucleotide ribosomal RNA is filed under the name uncultured prokaryote. Its description in RNAcentral is "partial 16S ribosomal RNA". It matches the Rfam family "Bacterial small subunit ribosomal RNA", at positions 1182 to 1382 of the family's 1533-position model. The record is from RNAcentral.